This is a long non-coding RNA of Candoia aspera, 2264 nucleotides long. RefSeq lists it as uncharacterized. The transcript has 2 exons. Lineage: Eukaryota; Metazoa; Chordata; Lepidosauria; Squamata; Candoiidae. The record is from RefSeq and is a predicted model, not a curated record.
UAAACAAGUCACUAGUUUUAAGCAUGCUGUCUGGCAUUUUGAGGGUAUGAGAUUUUCCUGAACCACCUAUGCCUCAAUGUUGCAAGACCCCACAUAUCUGUGUUUCAGUUUACAGGUAUAUAAUGCACAGAAAUGUAUGCCAAAAAUCAGGUUUGGUAAUAUUCAUAGUUCAUUGGAAAUGUGUGGUUACAUCAAAAAUGUAAAUGAAUACAAGCUUUAUGGCAAUGAAGCUUGGUCUUCCAAGGUCUAGAAUAGUCUUUCUCAACCUUUUGGCCCUGGAGGAACCCAGGGCCAAAAUAUAUUUCAGGCCUUGGGGAACCCCUGCACGUUCAGGCUCAAAUAUAGGCCAGAAGUUACAAAAUUAUUAUAUUUGUUUCAUGUGUAGGCCUGUAUAUAUGCAUUAAUAAUGUUCUUAAACUAAAAAUAAAGAAUGAAACUUUCCUCUUUAAUGUGAAGUUGCCCGAAUUUGAAAUAAAAUUGUGAUCUCCCAGGGAACCCCAUGUGACCUCUCAUAGAACCCUAGGGUUCCAGGGAACCCUGGUUGAGAAACCUUGCUCUAGAAAAAGGCUCAGAAUUAAAUAAAAACUGAACAUAUAACUAAUGGUAGAGAUUUUUUAAAAGCUGGAUUUCUUUUUCCAGGAAUCUUAAUUCUAUCCAGAGAUGUCACCCUUGAGAGUCCCCUUCUCUUACAGGAAAGGAAGUCUAGAGCACCCCAUCUUCGGUGGUGGCUACCUGCCAAGAACAAGGCAGUUUUGCAAAGAGCAGCUUCUCUACUCUAAAACUACCACAACCCACAGUCAUGCUUUGUCACCUUACAACUAUUUAAUUUGCUCUAUAUCAGGUUGUCCCUGAAGACUGUCUCGCAGCUUCAGCUGGUCCAGCAAGCAAUGGCAUGGAUAUUUUCAGGUCUGUUGAAUCACAAUCGACUGAAGACCAGCACUUCUGAAGGAUAGGAAAAAAAUCAAUAUCAGCCGUCAAGGGAGAGAUCAAUCUGAACUUGUUUCCACAAUUGCUUUGAAUGUGCUUUAAAGGACACUGCAGCAGCAGAACAAAGGAAUAGCCUAACCAAGCCAAAGGAUCUGGUGUUGGAAAGGAAAGGAAAUGAUCCCAGCUUGCAUCUUAUUACUAAUAUAUUUAAUCUGAACUGAACUCUCUAUUUUACAGUAAUCAGACAGUGGGAGGAAGGAGUGAAAAAAACAGGCUAGCCAAGUGAUAUAAUCAUACACUUGGAGCAGCCAAAUAAUUGGCUGCUAUGGCAUUUUCCACUAAGUGGGAGAAAUAAGACUGAAGAGAUCAUUUCAGUAACCUGGUUAUUAGUGGUUAGGAACUGAUUUGAUAGCAAAAGAGCAGUGUAAGCUACAGUAACAUUAUGGACACUGGAAACUUUUUUUUGUUCUAGAAGGACAUCACCUUUAGGAUUUAAUUUCUCACCCCAAGCUAUACUUUCAUAAUUCAAAAAAGUAAGGAGAAUGUACUUUAAAAUAACAACCAGUGAUCAUAAAACCACUGGGAGACUGAUCAUGUUUGUAUUAGGAAGUCAUUUAUAAAACUCAAAAUGUGGAUCUAGUUCAAGAAAUAGAUCAUGUAGUACAGGAGACCAAUUAUAGGAAAAGCAAAUAUAGAUUGGUUCAGAUGUAGCACCAAACCAUGAUUUAUCAUUGCAGGAACCAGUGGUGGCAUGUCUUAGCCUGGUCUAUUGUCUCGGUCACUUCCUUUGUGAAGUAGGGCAUGACCCUGGUUUACAGGCAAGCUAUGAUUUGUGCACACCAGUGAUCAAAUGUUUGGAUACCAUGACAAAGGAUAGUUUUAUGCAAAUUAAAACCAAAUGCCUCCUAGAGCAGAGAAAAAAACAAAUCAAAGCUUGUUGCCACUUUUUUUUCUAGCAAGCCAUAAUUUAUUAUCAUGUCUGAAUGUCAUAUCCAAAAUGCUAUCUGUACUUGUUUGGCAUAAGUGACUUAGUCAUGACAAUUAUCUAUGAACUCAUGAAACAAAAAAGGAAGGAACCGCUGUGUCAGUUACAGUGUGUCAGAAUAAAUAAUUCCUCACUUCGAACUCUUGUCUGUAGAAAAAAAGAAGCAGAUUAGAUUGGACUAGGUUAAUUUUGCUGAGAUUGACCUCUUCAGCAAUUUCUUGGUUAAGAUUAAUUUAUGCUAUUAAUUUAUUAAUUCUGUGUUACAUUAAGUUAUUCAGUCCCUGAAAUAAUUUUUUGAAUAAUAGCUUAAUGUCAAUUAAAUUGUCCAUUCAAUUAAAAGUAGACAAAAAUA